GACGAACGCUAGCGGCGUGCCUAAUACAUGCAAGUAGGACGCGGUUGCGAACGGGUGAGUCACGCGUAGGUAACUGCCUAUUAGAGGGGGAUAACUAUUGGAAACGAUAGCUAAUACCGCAUACUAGUAGAUGGACCUGCGUUGUAUUCGCUAGUAGGUAGGGUAAUGGGCUACCUAGGCGACGAUACAUCGCCGACGUUAAGGGGUGACCCGCCACACUGUGGAUGCGAAACGGCCCAGACCCCUAAGGGAGGCAGCAGGAGGGAGGUUGUGGCAAUUGGGGGAAACCUGACCGAGCAACGCCGCGUGAGUGAAGAAGGGGUUUGGAGCGUAAAGCUCUGUUGUUAAGGAAGCGGUACCUAACCAGAAAGGGACGGCUAACUACGUGCCAGCAGCCGCGGUAAUAC
Molecule: ribosomal RNA, 407 nt
Filed under: uncultured bacterium
Lineage: Bacteria
Description: partial 16S ribosomal RNA
Rfam family: Bacterial small subunit ribosomal RNA
Source: RNAcentral